Molecule: microRNA, 23 nt
Filed under: Ixodes ricinus (castor bean tick)
Lineage: Eukaryota; Metazoa; Arthropoda; Arachnida; Ixodida; Ixodidae
Description: iri-miR-X26-3p
Source: RNAcentral
GCCAACCCACUAACUGACGGGAA